This 497-nucleotide ribosomal RNA is filed under the name uncultured bacterium. RNAcentral's name for it is "partial 16S ribosomal RNA". It matches the Rfam family "Bacterial small subunit ribosomal RNA", at positions 28 to 507 of the family's 1533-position model. The record is from RNAcentral.
GAUGAACGCUGGCGGCGUGCCUAAUACAUGCAAGUCGAGCGAACAGACGAGGAGCUUGCUCCUCUGACGUUAGCGGCGGACGGGUGAGUAGCACGUGGAUAACCUACCUAUAAGACUGGGAUAACUUUGGGAAACCGGAGCUAAUACCGGAUAAUAUAUUGAACCGCUUGGUUCAAUAGUGAAAGACGGUUUUGCUGUCACUUAUAGAUGGAUCCGCGCCGCAUUAGCUAGUUGGUAAGGUAACGGCUUACCAAGGCAACGAUGCGUAGCCGACCUGAGAGGGUGAUCGGCCACACUGGAACUGAGACACGGUCCAGACUCCUACGGGAGGCAGCAGUAGGGAAUCUUCCGCAAUGGGCGAAAGCUUGACGGAGCAACGCCGCGUGAGUGAUGAAGGUCUUCGGAUCGUAAAACUCUGUUAUUAGGGAAGAACAAAUGUGUAAGUAACUAUGCACGUCUUGACGGUACCUAAUCAGAAAGCCACGGCUAACUACGUG